This 181-nucleotide long non-coding RNA is filed under the name Mustela putorius furo (domestic ferret). RNAcentral describes it as "lncRNA (ENSMPUG00000027070.1)". The record is from RNAcentral. Lineage: Eukaryota; Metazoa; Chordata; Mammalia; Carnivora; Mustelidae.
UUUUGAGUGGUCACUGUCAUUGCUGGCAUCUCUAACCUAUUCUUCCAUCUGAGCAGUUAAAGUGUUACAGAGGGGAAAACGAAGUGCUGACUUCUUAAAGGAAUUUAAUCAUUCGUGCUUCCUGAAUCUCAGUUUCAGAGUUACUGUGCAGAGAAAUUAUAAGCAAGUAUCACUGGAGAAU